RNAcentral lists this ribosomal RNA (438 nucleotides) under Limosilactobacillus panis. RNAcentral describes it as "bacterial SSU rRNA". It matches the Rfam family "Bacterial small subunit ribosomal RNA", at positions 48 to 449 of the family's 1533-position model. Lineage: Bacteria; Bacillati; Bacillota; Bacilli; Lactobacillales; Lactobacillaceae. The record is from RNAcentral.
CUAAUACAUGCAAGUCGAGCGCACUGGCCCAACUGAUAUGAYGUGCUUGCACUGAUUUGACGAUGGAUUACCAGUGAGCGGCGGACGGGUGAGUAACACGUGGGCAACCUGCCCUAAAGCGGGGGAUAACAUUUGGAAACAGGUGCUAAUACCGCAUAACUACGAAAACCACAUGGUUUUCGUAUCAAAGAUGGUUUCGGCUAUCACUUUAGGAUGGGCCCGCGGUGCAUUAGCUAGUUGGUAGGGURACGGCCUACCAAGGCAAUGAUGCAUAGCCGAGUUGAGAGACUGAUCGGCCACAAUGGAACUGAGACACGGUCCAUACUCCUACGGGAGGCAGCAGUAGGGAAUCUUCCACAAUGGGCGCAAGCCUGAUGGAGCAACACCGCGUGAGUGAAGAAGGGUUUCGGCUCGUAAAACUCUGUUGUUGAAGAAGAA